This 395-nucleotide ribosomal RNA is filed under the name uncultured Chrysophyceae. RNAcentral's name for it is "partial small subunit ribosomal RNA". It matches the Rfam family "Eukaryotic small subunit ribosomal RNA", at positions 30 to 432 of the family's 1831-position model. The record is from RNAcentral. Lineage: Eukaryota; Chrysophyceae.
GCUUGUCUCAAAGAUUAAGCCAUGCAUGUCUAAGUAUAAACACAUCUAUACUGUGAAACUGCGAAUGGCUCAUUAUAUCAGUUAUAGUUUCUUUGAUGGUCCUUGCUACUUGGAUAACCGUAGUAAUUCUAGAGCUAAUACAUGCACCAAACCCUGACUUCUGGAAGGGGUGUAUUUAUUAGAUGGAAACCAAAGCGGGGCAACCCGGGAUGUUGGUGAUUCAUAAUAACUGUCGGAUCGAUUUUCGGAUCGAUGCAUCAUUCAAGUUUCUGCCCUAUCAGCUUUGGAUGGUAGGGUAUUGGCCUACCAUGGCUUUAACGGGUAACGGAGAAUUAGGGUUCGAUUCCGGAGAGGGAGCCUGAGAAAUGGCUACCACAUCCAAGGAAGGCAGCAGG